UGCCUAAGUCCUAAUAGGAUAUGGCACAAAAAACCUACCAUAGGAUAGAGAGCUCGUCGUCAGAGCACCUGUGGUAGGUCAUAUCCCGAAAGGGGUAUGGGUGGUCGCAAGACCAUC
Molecule: small RNA, 117 nt
Filed under: unclassified sequences
Description: LOOT RNA
Rfam family: LOOT RNA
About the family: Latescibacteria, OD1/Parcubacteria, OP11, TM7.
Source: Rfam by way of RNAcentral